This is a long non-coding RNA of Panonychus citri (citrus red mite), 1783 nucleotides long. RefSeq lists it as uncharacterized. The transcript is spliced from 5 exons. Lineage: Eukaryota; Metazoa; Arthropoda; Arachnida; Trombidiformes; Tetranychidae. The record is from RefSeq and is a predicted model, not a curated record.
UCGGGUUCCAAACACAUAUUCAGUUUUACACUUUGAGGUGAAAUCGAUCUCGGUUCCUGCGGUUGUACCUGAGGUGUCACAUCCUCUUCUCCACUCUAGGACGAUUCCUGUGUCAUUAAUUAAAUGGAAAUGAUUAAAGAAUUGUUAUAAUUGGAAUUACUGCUUCUUGUUUGGUUAUAUCUCCAUUCUAUGAGAAUCUGAUUUAACAACAAGAUGAGAUUGAUUGAUUGAUUAUGAUGAGAUUUUCUCACCUUUUCUUGAUUAGAUUUGAUUAGUGAUUUGAUUGGAAAAAUGCAUCCGAUAUGGAAAACAUCUCACAUCCUGCUGGACAUUCACGAUAAGGAACCACCGCGGCAGUGAAAUACUUUGGACUACAAGCGUCUGGACUAUUGUAACAAUUUAAAUCGGUACAUCGAUUGAUUGUGAAAUGACAAGUAAAACAUUUAACCGAUUCCACUAUAUGGCCAAUGAUCAACAAUUGGUUCAAAAAAUCAUAAAACACAAUGAAAAAUUAAUGGAUCACAAUUAAAGACGAUGAGAUAACGAUUAACACAAGAAAGCAACAAAUCUUACCUGUCGACUGAAAACUGAUCAAUGUAAUCAAGAAGAUUAGCAAAACAGUUAAAUCCAUUAUGGCGAUUUACUAAUCCAAAGAUAGAAAGAGAUGAAGUGAAACGUUAAUCAUGAAAAUCUUUAACAAUUGGUUCCCAAAUGAUAUCCCAAUAUUGUAACGAUAAAUUGUAAACUUUGCAAAUCAUUCUGUAUUAAUCACUAACCAAUCAAUUUGAUUUCUUUUCCUGUUCCUUUUCCCCUGAUCUUUUUUUCAGUCUCAACAAUUACCGUUAUUUUUCAUUGGCAUCAAUACAUUAAUCGUGACUCGACAUUUCCAAGGCAAUAUUUUGGCAGAUUAUCUUUCACUCUCUUGGGUCCAUCAUCAUCACAGAGCAAUUAAGAUGCACAAUCAUUGUUACAUGGAGAUGUCCCAUUUAUUGAUAAUUAAAUUAAUCCAAUUACCAUGAUAACAACGACAAUAACAAAAGGUAUCCCCUCUUAUUGUUUUAUUUGUUUACCUCUCAUCAUCUGGGAUACACGUGAUUUAAUCAUGUAAAUAUGAAAAUCAAUCAACUUUUAAUUGUAUCGUUAAUCUGGUACCAUGAAAUCAGAAUUGCCAGCCAAUUACCAUAAUGAACGUCAAGAAAAAGAUGCUAACAGAUUUUGAAAAAAUUAACUAAUUCGCAUGAUGAUUAACAUGAGGAAAUGAAAUAUCAACAAAACAACAACAACCAGGAAUCAUAAGGAAUCAACAAGGAGUUAGAGUCUUAUGAAGCAAAGGAUUAUCAACUUUUGCAUCUUCAACUCGAUUCCCAACAAUUAGUCAAAUGGUUAAUCAUAUAGUUGGUAAACUAUGAAAUUUUGGCAAUCAUUGACUGGUGAAUCUAUUAAUAGAUCACAAUUUGUUUAUCAACAUGAAAUAACUUCACCAUUAGGAUAAUAUCAACAAGUGGUUGCACCUCACAAGUUAAGUGUUAAUCAUUUUUACGAGGAAACAAAAAGUAAAUGAUACAAGUCACAUACACAAUUAACUAAAUUGUAAUCAGACUAAGAUUUCUAUUAAUUGAUCAUUCAACUAAAUUCAAUGGUUCCCUCCGUCAAGGUUUCAUAUUUACCUUGUACAUUUAAUUGCUCAUCUAAUUUUACCUUGUACUGAUUCAACCGUUAAUUGUAAACAAUUUAACAUCUCGAGAAAAAUAUUAAUUAUAAUAAUUUGUUUAUUACAAUGUUA